UUAAAAGCGAUGAUAAGGGAAAGUAGAUUAUAGUGGCUUUUUUUAGCGAGUCAGGGAUGGUGCAAGCCUGAUAAAAGUGCUUUAAUUGAAGUUCCCCUUAGAGCUGUAUGCUGAAAAGUAUUUUUACUAAAGUAGGCAAUACCGGAGCUUUCACCGUUAAAAGAAAGGGUGUAUCGGAAUAGAAUUAAUUCCCGUACAUUUAUGAGUGGGCUUUUCAGCCAAUUUGGGUGGUACCGCGUGGAAAAUAUACUCCUCGUCCCUUAA
This 264-nucleotide non-coding RNA is filed under the name Acetivibrio clariflavus. RNAcentral describes it as "Clostridium clariflavum T-box sequence". It matches the Rfam family "T-box leader". From Rfam's summary of the family: Uncharged tRNA acts as the effector for transcription antitermination of genes in the T-box leader family. T-boxes are found upstream of many aminoacyl-tRNA synthetase genes and some amino acid biosynthetic genes usually in Gram-positive bacteria. The record is from RNAcentral. Lineage: Bacteria; Bacillati; Bacillota; Clostridia; Acetivibrionales; Acetivibrionaceae.